ACAAGUACCGUGAGGGAAAGUCGAAAAGAACUUUGAAGAGAGAGUUAAAGAGGACGUGAAACCGGUGGGGUGGAAACGGAUAGAGCCGGCGUUCUGACUCGUAUUCAGCGGUUCGACCCGCAGGGGCGUUCGGUGCUCUGUUCGAGUUGCUGUUCGCAUCCGGUGGGUAGCUCCGUGCAUUUGCGGGUGGAGAGCACUGAGGGGCGUUGGGGUGGUGGCGGGAGAUUCGCUCAGAGGACGUGCUUGCACGGAUCCUGUUCGUCUCGAGCGCGAUCGCUCUGACGUUGCUGCCGGGGAGCAGUGCGAAGCGCAGUUGGUCUUUUGCAAGGCUUGAGGGUCGCAUGCGAUCAUCCUGCCCAGAUUGGCGAUUGGCCCUCGGCGUGGAGCUCCGUUCCCACCUCGGUGUAGCUGCGGUCACCUAUCCGACCCGUCUUGAAACACGGACCAAGGAGUUUAACGUAUACGCGAGUCAUUGGGCGGCAAACCCAUAGGCGCAAUGAAAGUAAACAAAUGAAUGCGACCCCACUGCCCUGGCGGCGGGAGCAGCAUUGCCCUGUAGGUUUCACUGCGGUGGUCCUGCUGAGGCGGAGCGUAUGCGAUGAGACCCGAAAGAUGGUGAACUAUUCCCGGGCAGGACGAAGCCGGGGGAAACUCCGGUGGAAGUCCGAAGCGGUUCUGACGUGCAAAUCGAUCGUCUGACCUGGGUAUAGGGGCGAAAGACUAAUCGAACCAUCUAGUAGCUGGUUUCCUUCCGA
This 755-nucleotide ribosomal RNA is filed under the name Malenchus bryanti. RNAcentral's name for it is "partial large subunit ribosomal RNA". It matches the Rfam family "Eukaryotic large subunit ribosomal RNA", at positions 344 to 964 of the family's 3401-position model. The record is from RNAcentral. Lineage: Eukaryota; Metazoa; Nematoda; Chromadorea; Rhabditida; Tylenchidae.